Molecule: long non-coding RNA, 567 nt
Filed under: Gossypium barbadense (sea-island cotton)
Lineage: Eukaryota; Viridiplantae; Streptophyta; Magnoliopsida; Malvales; Malvaceae
Description: long non-coding RNA (GBAR_LNC001964)
Source: RNAcentral
GUGCAUUGAAGGGAAGAAAAUACGGUGAUUAUCUGGUGCAAAACAACCAUAAUCGAGCAGCUAUUUUGGCGCUAAACGGUAAGCAUACAGCAGCAAUUUAAAUGGGAACAAUUGGUGCAAUGGAGGGAAAUGAAGUAACAAAAGGAAUUCCAUUAAAACCAGCAACAAUAGCAAAGUAAUGGAUUGUGGAACAGCUGGUUAUUAAUCACUAAUAGCAGCAGCAAAAACAGCGAAAGCGUGACAAACUUUAGUGUUUUCUUGAAAGCAAACAGCAGCUAGCUGAUGAAGCAAAUAAUUGAUGAAUGGCGUGGGAAAUUUUGAGGUCAUUUGAGCGGUAACUGAAGUAACAAUUAAGGAAAAUAAUCGAUGAUGGAUGGAGUGGAUAUGUAGUUGUUGAAGUAGACAUGCAUGCAGCACAUGAACAGCCAAGGAGCAGACCAUGCAGCCCAAGUUAUGUGGAUGAAAUGUGAAGAUCAAGCUGUUGUAGUAUUUCUGGAUGAAGUACAUGUAGCUACUGAAGUUGAUGCUACUGUUCAAUUUCGGUUUUAUUUUGCUACUUUAAGUAAU